Y RNA from Macaca fascicularis (crab-eating macaque), 112 nucleotides. It matches the Rfam family "Y RNA". Rfam says of the family: Y RNAs are components of the Ro ribonucleoprotein particle (Ro RNP), in association with Ro60 and La proteins. NCBI's taxonomy places the organism in Eukaryota, Metazoa, Chordata, Mammalia, Primates, Cercopithecidae. The record is from Ensembl.
AGCUGGUCUGAAGGUAGUGAAUUAUUUCAAUUGAUUGUUCACAAUCAGUUACAGAUGGAACUUCUUUUUCUACUCUCGUCCCCUUCUCACUACUGCACCUGACUAGUCUUUU